RNAcentral lists this non-coding RNA (22 nucleotides) under Cricetulus griseus (Chinese hamster). Its record names the gene cgr-miR-149-3p. RNAcentral also lists the same sequence under 2 other names. Lineage: Eukaryota; Metazoa; Chordata; Mammalia; Rodentia; Cricetidae. The record is from miRBase by way of RNAcentral.
GAGGGAGGGACGGGGGCGGUGC